AACGAACGCUGGCGGCGUGGAUAAGACAUGCAAGUCGAACGAAGAAUGAGAGUAGCUUGCUAAUUUCAUUCUUAGUGGCGGACGGGUUAGUAACACGUGAGAUAUCUACCCCAGAGAAGGGAAUAGCUCUCCGAAAGGAGGAUUAAUGCCCUAUGGUCUCUAAGGAGUAAAGGGUGCCUUCGGGUGCCGCUCUGGGAUGAGCUCGCGGCCUAUCAGCUAGUUGGUGAGGUAAAGGCUCACCAAGGCAGCGACGGGUAGCUGGUCUGAGAGGACGAUCAGCAACACUGGAACUGAGACACGGUCCAGACACCUACGGGUGGCAGCAGUCGAGAAUCAUUCACAAUGGGCGAAAGCCUGAUGGUGCAACGCCGCGUGGAGGAUGAAGGUCUUCGGAUUGUAAACUCCUGUCAUCAGGGAGUAAGACUUAUGCGUUAAGAGCGUGUAAGUUUGAUAGUACCUGAAGAGGAAGGGACGGCUAACUUCGUGCCAGCAGCCGCAGUAAAAC
Molecule: ribosomal RNA, 505 nt
Filed under: uncultured bacterium
Lineage: Bacteria
Description: bacterial SSU rRNA
Rfam family: Bacterial small subunit ribosomal RNA
Source: RNAcentral